Molecule: ribosomal RNA, 96 nt
Filed under: uncultured eukaryote
Lineage: Eukaryota
Description: partial 18S ribosomal RNA
Source: RNAcentral
UGGUGGAGCGAUUAGUCUGGUGAGUGUCUUACACUGACUUUGACUUCUUAGAGGGACGUGCAUUCGACUAGUUGCAGGAAGAUAGGGGCAAUAACA